This 303-nucleotide ribosomal RNA is filed under the name uncultured bacterium. RNAcentral describes it as "partial 16S ribosomal RNA". It matches the Rfam family "Bacterial small subunit ribosomal RNA", at positions 507 to 807 of the family's 1533-position model. The record is from RNAcentral.
AGCAGUAGCCGCGGGAAAACGGAGGGUGCAAGCGUUAAUCGGAAUUACUGGGCGUAAAGCGCACGCAGGCGGUCUGUCAAGUCAGAUGUGAAAUCCCCGGGCUUAACCUGGGAACUGCAUUUGAAACUGGCAGGCUAGAGUCUUGUAGAGGGGGGUAGAAUUCCAGGUGUAGCGGUGAAAUGCGUAGAGAUCUGGAGGAAUACCGGUGGCGAAGGCGGCCCCCUGGACAAAGACUGACGCUCAGGUGCGAAAGCGUGGGGAGCAAACAGGAUUAGAUACCCCGGUAGUCCCUGUCUCUUAUAC